RNAcentral lists this ribosomal RNA (253 nucleotides) under uncultured bacterium. RNAcentral describes it as "partial 16S ribosomal RNA". It matches the Rfam family "Bacterial small subunit ribosomal RNA", at positions 524 to 776 of the family's 1533-position model. The record is from RNAcentral.
GACGUAGGGCGCAAGCGUUGUCCGGAUUUAUUGGGCGUAAAGAGCUCGUAGGCGGCUUGUUGCGUCGGCCGUGAAAACCCGUGGCUCAACUGCGGGCUUGCGGACGAUACGGGCAGGCUGGAGUUCGGUAGGGGAGACUGGAAUUCCUGGUGUAGCGGUGAAAUGCGCAGAUAUCAGGAGGAACACCGGUGGUGUAGACGGCUCACUGGACCGUAACUGACGCUGAGACACGAAAGCGUGGGUAGCAAACAGG